This is a long non-coding RNA of Equus caballus (horse), 2114 nucleotides long. The record is from Ensembl. Lineage: Eukaryota; Metazoa; Chordata; Mammalia; Perissodactyla; Equidae.
AAACUGCCCCCAGCUCUGCCACCCCCUCAAGCUCCUACACCGGCUCCCUUCCCUUCAGGACUCGACUUCCACAAGAGUCACACACGCGUGUCCACUUCCUCUUCACCCACGUGCCUGUGAGAGCCUCCUCGCACACACGCCUGCAAUCCCGAGCAGCGGGUCCGCCUGCAGCGCUCUAACGACACGAGCCUUCCACCAGCGAGGACCUGAAGCAGAAAGCAAGUGCCUGUUCCCUGCACUGGUCCUCCUCUGCACCUCGCUCUCUGAAGCGCACACUCUCCUCCUCGAAACUCCACCUUCCAGCGGGUUCGGCGUCAGGGGAAGCUUCUGGCUCUGCCUCUCUGUCCUCGCUGAUUUCUCCUCUAGUUUCUAGGAGUGGGCUAGGCAGGGACAGCCGCAAGAUACCCUAAACCUUCAGGAUGUCCUAACUUGGCAAAUGCCGGAACACCUGCAGAGGUUCGGAGCUUCCUCCUGAGUCGUGUUGGAGGCAGGGGCCCGUCUCCUGUGUUUCAGUCACUGCCACCAGGUAAGCGCUUCGAUAACUUUUGCUAAAGCGUAACUCUCACUUGAUGACCAUUUUCUACAAAGAAGUAAAUCACCUAAAUGAGAAUUACCGCCUCUACCACGAUGAGGAAGAAAAACUCAGGAUGCCGGGCAACUUGGUAGAUUCACGCCGAGCCAGGGGGCUCACUCCCGCAGCAGCCGGCCCGGUCACGCCUCGAAAGAUCUGCGAGCGCCAUGCCGUUAACUCUCAGCCUCUUCAAAACAUACAGACUCCAAGCGCCGCACCAGACACGCGAACGUCAGGGCAUCCUCCCGCUCCAGCAGCGCAGGCUCUCCGCGGCCUUCUCUUUCACCUCGAGGAUGCGACCGUCACUCCCAGGUGGACGGGGCUUCCUCUGGCACCCUGGGCUCUGUCCUCCGAUCCCGACACCAUCACGCCCACACUCUGUCGGGUGCCUCAGACUCAUAUGCCUGACACUAAUCAAUCGUCCCCAGCCCCACCUCCUCCUGCGGUUCUGAGUUGAGUCAAGGACGUGACGGGAACCUCCAAGGGCAGCCAUCCUCUCUUUGAGAUGAAGCUGGAGCCUCUCAUCAGACUCUGACAGAAGCUUGUCGACGGUGUCGGACAGGCGUUUGUUAUGCUCCUCGUUCAUCUUCUCUCUCUGACUUGCCUGGAACAGGAGAAACAAAAACCUGGCCACUGCGAGCAAAGGCAGGAUCGUUUCCCCCACCGUGGAGUCACCCGUGCCGCCAUCCCUGGGCUGUUCCGGCCCUCCGCCAUCAGUGGACAUCUACACGAUGACCAGGACUGCCUCACAGGCGCAGAGAAAGGCAGGGCCAAGUCUGCGAGAGCGUUAAUGAGAACGUCCACUGCUCCUUAAACGAGGCCCUCACGGGGCCUCAGCAACGUCACCCAUCCCUGACUGUCGGGUGGGCUCCAGGAGCAGAUUUACACCCAGACACAGCAGAGUUUCAAGGGGAUCAGCUUAUCCACACACCAGUGGAGGAAUCUGCCCAUGUAAACAGAAGCUUGCGUCUGGAUUCAGGAGAAAAAAUGAACUCAACUCACAAAGCAAAAGGUAAAGAAAUUCAUCUGGGGAAAAAACAGUGGAGACAGAGACUUUCACCUGUUCUUUAUACUCCUACAUCACUUGAAUUUUUCGUAAUGAACGUUUAUGUUGAAAAAUUACAAAUAAUCACGAGUAAUUUUAAAACUUAAAAAUAAAGUCGCUAAGUCUGUGUUUUAUAAAACUAUCAUCAAUUUCAUGGCUUAAAAAGCUUGCUUUCACCCCUUAUUCUGAACAAAGACAAAGGGCACGUGGAGGGGACAGGAAGGGCUAACAGGCGGCACCUGUCAGGGUGAGUCCCCCGGGCCGGUGGGCAGCUCCCGGGCAGAGGGCAGCAUGGCUCGGGGGCUGAGACCUGCGCUCAAGCCACGCUGCCUGGAGGAGCAGCCCACAGGGAAUCGCCAACACAGUCAAGCCCUCCGUGCUUCAGCGUCCUCAGCUGACCACCACGGGUGCCAGCAUCUCCCUUUUCUCAUGGGUCACGGUCAAAUCAAACAGAAGGCUCUCAGAAUCAUGCCCAACACACAGCAGCUACCACCAUCU